AGAGGCGAUAAUACCAGCAUUAAAGCAUCACAUCCCAUCAGAAUUCCGAAGUUAAGCGUGCUUGGGCGGCAGUAGUACUAGGAUGGGUGACCUCUUGGGAAUUCCUCGUGUUGCAUUCC
Molecule: non-coding RNA, 119 nt
Organism: Hordeum vulgare subsp. vulgare (domesticated barley)
Lineage: Eukaryota; Viridiplantae; Streptophyta; Magnoliopsida; Poales; Poaceae
Source: Rfam